RNAcentral lists this ribosomal RNA (476 nucleotides) under uncultured bacterium. RNAcentral describes it as "bacterial SSU rRNA". It matches the Rfam family "Bacterial small subunit ribosomal RNA", at positions 335 to 803 of the family's 1533-position model. The record is from RNAcentral.
ACUCCUACGGGAGGCAGCAGUGGGGAAUAUUGGACAAUGGGGGGAACCCUGAUCCAGCCAUGCCGCGUGUGUGAAGAAGGCCUUAUGGUUGUAAAGCACUUUAAGCGAGGAGGAGGCUACUGAGACUAAUACUCUUGGAUAGUGGACGUUACUCGCAGAAUAAGCACCGGCUAACUCUGUGCCAGCAGCCGCGGUAAUACAGAGGGUGCGAGCGUUAAUCGGAUUUACUGGGCGUAAAGCGUGCGUAGGCGGCCAUUUAAGUCAAAUGUGAAUCCCCGAGCUUAACUUGGGAAUUGCAUUCGAUACUGGAUGGCUAGAGUAUGGGAGAGGAUGGUAGAAUUCCAGGUGUAGCGGUGAAAUGCGUAGAGAUCUGGAGGAAUACCGAUGGCGAAGGCAGCCAUCUGGCCUAAUACUGACGCUGAGGUACGAAACGCAUGGGGAGCAAAUCAGGAUUAGAUACCCUGGUAGCUACGAGU